GCAGCUAGGAAUAAUGGAAUAGGACUCCGGUUCUAUGUUUGUGGGUUUCUGGAACCCGGUGUCAUGAUUAAGAGGGACGGCCGGGGGCAUUCGUAUUGCGCCGCUAGAGGUGAAAUUCUUGGACCGGCGCAAGACGGACGAAAGCGAAAGCAUUUGCCAAGAAUGUUUUCUUUAAUCAAGAACGAAAGUCAGAGGCUCGAAGACGAUCAGAUACCGUCGUAGUUCUGACCGUAAACGAUGCCAACCCGCGAUCCGGCGGCGUUAUACCCAUGACCCGCCGGGCAGCGUACGGGAAACCAAGAGUCUUUGGGUUCCGGGGGGAGUAUGGUUGCAAAGCUGAAACUUAAAGGAAUUGACGGAAGGGCACCACCAGGAGUGGAGCCUGCGGCUUAAUUUGACUCAACACGGGAAACCUCACCCGGCCCGGACACAGAAAGGAUUGACAGAUUGAUAGCUCUUUCUCGA
This 465-nucleotide ribosomal RNA is filed under the name Spinibarbus hollandi. Its description in RNAcentral is "SSU rRNA". It matches the Rfam family "Eukaryotic small subunit ribosomal RNA", at positions 804 to 1265 of the family's 1831-position model. Lineage: Eukaryota; Metazoa; Chordata; Actinopteri; Cypriniformes; Cyprinidae. The record is from RNAcentral.